AGAGUUUGAUCCUGGCUCAGGAUGAACGCUGGCGGCGUGCCUAAUACAUGCAAGUCGAACGGAGAUUGUAGCAAUACGGUCUUAGUGGCGAACGGGUGAGUAACGCGUUGGUAACCUGCCCCGAAGCGUGGGAUAACGGUCCGAAAGGACCACUAAUACCACAUGUGAUCCCGAGGAAUAGAUACUUGGGAUGAAAGGAGCAAUUCGCUUCGGGAGGGACCUGCGUCCCAUCAGCUAGUUGGUAGGGUAACGGCCUACCAAGGCGAUGACGGGUAGGGGACCUGAGAGGGUGGCCCCCCACAAUGGAACUGAAACACGGUCCAUACACCUACGGGUGGUAGCAGUAGGGAAUAUUGGUUAAUGUGCGAAAGCGCGAACCAGCAACGCCGCGUGUGCGAUGAAGGCCUUCGGGUCGUAAAGCACUUUUUGCAGGGAAGAGGAAGGACGGUACCUGCAGAAUAAGUCUCGGCUAACUACGUGCCAGCAGCCGCGGUAAAACGUAGGAGACGAGCGUUAUCCGGAUUUACUGGGCGUAAAGCGCGUGCAGGCGGCAUGGCAAGUUGGAUGUGAAAGCUCCCGGCUUAACUGGGAGAGGUCGUUCAAUACUGCCAGGCUUGAGAGUGGUAGAGGGAAGCGGAAUUCCGGGUGUAGUGGUGAAAUGCGUAGAUAUCCGGAGGAACACCAGUGGCGAAAGCGGCUUCCUGGCCCAUUUCUGACGCUCAGACGCGAAAGCUAGGGUAGCAAACGGGAUUAGAGACCCCGGUAGUCCUAGCCGUAAACGAUGUGAACUUGGCGUUGGCGGGUUUAAAUCCGUCAGUGCCGCAGCUAACGCGAUAAGUUCACCGCCUGGGGACUACGGCCGCAAGGUUAAAACUCAAAGGAAUUG
RNAcentral lists this ribosomal RNA (886 nucleotides) under uncultured bacterium. RNAcentral describes it as "bacterial SSU rRNA". It matches the Rfam family "Bacterial small subunit ribosomal RNA", at positions 8 to 912 of the family's 1533-position model. The record is from RNAcentral.